AGGGCUUCGACACGUCAUACAAUGGUCGGUACAGAGGGUUGCCAAACCGCGAGGUGGAGGCCAAUCCCUUAAAGCCGAAUCGUAGUCCGGAUCGUAGUCUGCAACUCGACUACGUGAAGUCGGAAUCGCUAGUAAUCGCAGAUCAGCAUGCUGCGGUGAAUACGUUCCCGGGUCUU
RNAcentral lists this ribosomal RNA (176 nucleotides) under uncultured Thauera sp. RNAcentral describes it as "partial 16S ribosomal RNA". It matches the Rfam family "Bacterial small subunit ribosomal RNA", at positions 1210 to 1382 of the family's 1533-position model. The record is from RNAcentral. Lineage: Bacteria; Pseudomonadati; Pseudomonadota; Betaproteobacteria; Rhodocyclales; Zoogloeaceae.